CACCUCCUCUGCUUUAACUACUCUUUCUACCAGACUCUUGCUCCUAAAACUGAAGUCCUAAACCCAUUGUCCUAGCCCACUACUUCUAAAGCUUCCGCACCAAAUUACAACAGUGGUAUCAAAGCCACAAAUUCUAACACUUGCUCUUCUUACCGAUUGUCCAUCGUCAUUUCUCAAAUCUAAACCACUGCAUCCAUAGCCCUUUUUACUCCAAUGAAGGCAUCGUCAUCAUCCUCAUCGCUUCCAUCGGGGCCACCAUACUCAAGGCCACCGGAGUUCCCUAACUACACGUACGAUGUGUUCUUGAGCUUCAGAGGUGAAGACACACGGAGGACCUUCACGGACCACCUCUACGCGGCACUAGUUCGUGCCGGAGUCAGGACGUUUAGGGAUGCCGAGGGACUAAGAAGGGGAGAAAACAUAGCGGAGGAUUUGGUGGAGAUAAUCCAAGGGUGUAGGAUCUCACUCAUCGUCUUCUCAGAAAAUUACGCGGAUUCGAGUUGGUGCCUCGAGGAGCUGGUGCAGAUCAUGGAGUGUAGAAAAACACAAAGGCAACGGGUUUUCCCAAUAUUCUAUCAUGUCGAUCCUUCACAUGUCAGAAACCAGACCGGUAUCUUUGCUCAUGCGUUUGAGAGACAUGAAGCCACAGUACAUCAAGGUAGAGAUAAGAUAGCAAGGUGGAGAGCUGCUCUUAGAGGAGCGGCGAAUUUGGCUGGCUUCGAUAUUGCUGAUAGGCAUGAAGCAGAGUUUAUCAAUAGCAUUGUUGACGAGAUAUGCAGACAGCUGACCACCCCAUACUUGAAUUUAGCUGUCUAUCCUGUUGGAAUUGAUUCUCGUGUUAAAGAUAUUAGUGAAUAUUUACGUGUUAGAUUAGAUAAUGCUGUUUGCAUGGUUGGAAUUUGGGGUAUGGGUGGAAUCGGCAAAACAACAGUUGCCAAAGCCAUCUAUAACAAAUUUUAUCAUGACUUUGACAGUAGAAGUUUCCUAGCAGAUGUUAGGGAAACAGCAAAGGACUCAAGUGGUAAGAUUGCACUGCAAAAAAGACUUCUUUCUGAUGUCUUAAAACCAACCAAGAUAGAGGUAGGUGAUGUUUCCAAUGGCAUCAAUGUGAUCAAAGAACGACUUAGAAGCAAAAAGGUACUUGUCAUCGUCGACAAUGUCGAUCAUGUGGACCAAUUGACUGCAUUGGCAAUAAGCCGUGAUUCCUUUGGUCUGGGAAGUAUAAUUAUUAUAACAACAAGAGAUCGACAUUUGUUACAACUAGUGAAAGUGGAUAAAAUACAUCUGACACAAGAAAUGAAUGAAGAAGAAGCUCUUGAGCUCUUCAGUCGGCAUGCCUUUCAAAAUUAUUCUCCUAAUGAAGACUAUAUCGAACUCUCAAAAAGAGUGGUUACUUACUGUGGGGGUUUACCACUGGCUCUUGAAAUUUUAGGGUCUUUCCUCUUUGGAAGGAGCAUAGGAGAUUGGAAGAGCACACUGAAGAAAUUGGAAAAAAUUCCUGAUGACACAAUUCAGUCAAAGCUCAGAAUAAGCUUUGAUGCACUUGAGGAGUGGCAGAGGCACAUAUUCCUCCACAUAUGUUGUUUCUUCAUUGGAAUGGACAAAAACCAUGUCAUAAAAAUACUGGAAGGCUGUGGUGUUGCUGCAGGUGUAGCAAUUAGUGUCCUCUCUGAACGUUGCCUCGUAACUGUUAAUGAAAAAGACAAGGUAAUGAUGCAUGAUUUGCUUCGAGACAUGGGCAGAGAAAUUGUUCGUGAAGAAUCCCCGAACCACCCUGAAAGACGUAGUAGAUUGUGGCGUCAAGAAGAUGUAAUAGAUGUUUUGAGAGAUGAAUCUGGAACUGAAGAGACUGAAGGACUCGCUCUAAUUUUGCAAAGAUCUCACAUCUUGAGUAUCAGUAUAGGAGCAUUUAGAAACAUGAGGGGACUGAAAUUGCUCCAACUCAAGUAUGUACUACUCACUGGAGACUGCAACAAGCUUCCCAAAAAGUUAAGAUGGCUCUGCUUGCGAGGAUCCUCUCUGAUCACUCGAGAUGAGUUUCGGGAUGCAAGUUACCUGGUUUCUAUGGACCUGCGGUACAGCGGUCCCGUACGAGUUUGGGAGCAUUUCAGGCGGCUUUGGAAUUUGGAGAUACUUAAUCUCAGUCAUUCACAGUACCUAACAAAAUCACCAGACUUUUCACAACUCCCAAAUCUACAGUAUUUGAUCCUUAAAGACUGUGUGAAUUUGCCAGAGAUUGACAGGUCCAUUGGACUUCUUUCUCAACUUGCCUUGCUAAAUCUUAAAAGCUGCACUAAGCUCAAGGACCUUCCGAAGGAUUUUUAUAAGUUGCGUUCUGUUAGGACUCUUGUUCUUUCUGGCUGUUCGAGAUUUAAGAAGUUGAGCAAGCAUAUAGGAAAAAUGAGGUUGUUGAAAACUCUUGUUAUAAGUGGCACAGCCAUAAGUGAAGUACCAUCCUCGAUAGAUGAAUUGCAAUACCUGGACUUUUCAUCUCGACAAGGCCUGAGUGGACUAAAACGAUUUUCCCAGGAUGAGACAUCAGCAGCCAGGAUUGAGGGCGCUUGUAAGCUUCUUAAAUUAUAAGGAAUGGACAAACCGGUGCUUGGCAAUUAAGUCGCUUUUUCAGAGCCAUAAGCAGAGCUGCAGAAGCCAAUAUGAAGAGUGUAACUUAUGGGAAGCGGCUUAUCAAGUUAUCCUACUGUAGCGGAACAAAGUAAAUGAAACUCUAAAAAUACCAGCUCAGCGUCUCUUUGAAAAAUUACACUCCCAUCCAUUUCUCUUUGUGAUAUCCUGCGCCUCAUCUCACUCUCAAAUUUCAGUCUGUUCUGCCAUGUCUCAUGGAUGAGAACGCUCCAACGGUGACAAAUCACCACGCCAUUCAAAUCUCACUUGUUAUAAAACUUCCGAGUAGGUGGAACGGUAGAGGUCCUGAUUUCUUCAAAUAUUUCCCAAACACCGGCUUGGCCGCCUCUGUCUACAAGUUCAAGAAGCAAAGCAUCAACAACCUGCAGAGAACUAGAGUCCGGUUCUUUGGAGUCAUUACCAGAGGAAGAAGAUAAAGAAGCUUAUGGUGAUGGUGAUGGUGAUGGCAGUGAUGUUGAAAGUGAGAGCAGGAUAAAAAGGCGUAAGGGAGAUAAUUUGGAAAGCGUAGAGGAAACUAAUGGAUCGACUUCACAAGGACUUCCAGAACAAAUUCUGUUGUGUUUUGUUUUAUAACCCCAAACAGUGGAAGAAGACUUCUUGAUACUGUACAAAGUGUUCUGAACUGUCUCAGAUGACGCAGACAUAAGACCAACUUACUUAGGAUUGAGACUUCAAUCGACCGGUUACACAACACGGACGUUAAGAAAUCGCUAAAUAAUAAGAAACUUUAUUUGGUACUGGAUCUUGAUCACACAUGGCUAAAUUCCACCCAGCUGAAUCAUAUGACGGCAGAAGAAGAAUAUUUGAUGAGCCCACCAGAUUCGCUGCCAGAUGAGUUGAAAGGCAGCCUUUUCAGACUGGACUGUAUGCGUAUGAUGACCAAGUUAAGGCCCUUCAUUAGGACAUUUUUGAAGAAAGCCAGUGAAAUGUUUGAAAUGUACAUGUAUAUGGGUGAUUGAGCCUAUGCAUUGGAAAUGGCCAAGUUGCUUGAUCCCAAAAAAAAGAGUACUUUGGUGAUAGGGUGAUAUCACGUGAUGAUGGUACCCAAAAACAUCAAAAGGGUCUAGAUAUUGUGGUUGGGCAAGAAAGUGCUGUUCUGAUACUGGAUGAUACAGAAAAUGUUCUCGAUGUUGCUAUCUGUUAUUGUAGGCAUGGAUAAAGCACAAGGACAAUCUAAUUAUGAUGGAAAGAUAUCAUUUCUUUAGAUCUAGUCGUGCCCAAUUUGGGUUCACUUGUGAGUCUCUUUCAGAGUUGAAGAGUGAUGAGAGUGAGCCUGAAGGCGCUCUUGCAAAUGUUCUUGACCUUCUUAAGCGAAUCCACAAGAUUUUCUUCUAUGAAUUGGGAGGCAAUCUUAUAGAUAGAGACGUAAGGCAGGUUCUGAAAACUGUUAGGAAGGAAGUCUUGAAGGGGUGCAAAGUUGUUUUCAGCCGUAUAAUUCCUUCAAAAGUCCAGGCUGAUAAUCAUCUCCUGUGGAAGAUGGCGGAGCAGCUGGGAGCCAUAUGUUCAACCGAAGUGGAUUCAUCAGUGACCCAUGUAGUUGCAUUAGAUGCAGGAACAGAAAAGUCUCACUGGGCAGUAAAUCAAAAUUCAAAACAAGUUUUUGGUCCAUCCUCUGUGGCUUGAAGCAGCAAAUUAUAAGUGGCGAAAGCAACCUGAACACAAGUUUCCUGUCACUGAAAUGAAAUCGAAAACCCAAAGCCAGUGAUUUGCUAUUUUUUGGAUAUGACUAACCCUGUCCUUGUUGUGGAUAAGUUGAAGUAGAAACUUGGGCGGUAGAUCUUUUCUCACAAAUGUGAGUUUUGAUGCUGAUUCAAAACUAGAGCACCAGAGAGCAGCUGCUUUUACUCUGAAUUUGUAUAUAGAUACACACAACCCGAUUUGUCUGACAAGAAGAGAAGAUAUGUCAAGGCAGUAGGAGGAUAUGGUGGUACACAUUUUUAGCUACUUAAUUUGUUUCUCCGCAGCUGCUGAUCUGUCAUCAUUACAGCUCUUGUAGUUCUAACAGUUCACUGACUCAUGUCUAUUGAUUGUACAAGAAUUACUGAAUCAGUAGCAACACCUUUUUGCUAUCUCAUAAUAUUGAUUAGAAUAAUAUUUUCUUCAAUUUAAUGGCUGGUUUGUAAA
RNA transcript from Rosa rugosa (rugosa rose), 4767 nucleotides. It is a transcript of the gene named disease resistance protein RUN1-like, with no coding region annotated. The record is from RefSeq and is a predicted model, not a curated record. Lineage: Eukaryota; Viridiplantae; Streptophyta; Magnoliopsida; Rosales; Rosaceae. The transcript has 12 exons.